Molecule: ribosomal RNA, 422 nt
Filed under: uncultured bacterium
Lineage: Bacteria
Description: SSU rRNA
Rfam family: Bacterial small subunit ribosomal RNA
Source: RNAcentral
CAUGGGGGAAACCCUGNAUGCAGCGACGCCGCGUGGAGGAAGAAGGUCUUCCGAUUGUAAACUCCUGUUGUUGAGGAAGAUAAUGACUGUACUCAACAAGGAAGUGACGGCUAACUACGUGCCAGCAGCCGCGGUAAAACGUAGGUCACAAGCGUUGUCCGGAAUUACUGGGUGUAAAGGGAGCGCAGGCGGGAAAACAAGUUGGAAGUGAAAUCNAUGGGCUCAACCCAUGAACUGCUUUCAAAACUGUUUUUCUUGAGUAGUGCAGAGGUAGGCGGAAUUCCCGGUGUAGCGGUGGAAUGCGUAGAUAUCGGGAGGAACACCAGUGGCGAAGGCGGCCUACUGGGCACCAACUGACGCUGAGGCUCGAAAGUGUGGGUAGCAAACAGGAUUAGAUACCCUGGUAGUCCAAGGGCGAAUUC